This 484-nucleotide ribosomal RNA is filed under the name uncultured bacterium. RNAcentral's name for it is "partial 16S ribosomal RNA". It matches the Rfam family "Bacterial small subunit ribosomal RNA", at positions 30 to 507 of the family's 1533-position model. The record is from RNAcentral.
AUUGAACGCUGGCGGCAGGCCUAACACAUGCAAGUCGAGCGGAUGAAGGGAGCUUGCUCCUGGAUUCAGCGGCGGACGGGUGAGUAAUGCCUAGGAAUCUGCCUGGCAGUGGGGGAUAACGUCCGGAAACGGGCGCUAAUACCGCCUACGUCCUGAGGGAGCAAGUGGGGGAUCUUCGGACCUCACGCUAUCAGAUGAGCCUAGGUCGGAUUAGCUAGUUGGUGGGGUAAAGGCCUACUAAGGCGACGAUCCGUAACUGGUCUGAUAGGAUGAUCAGUCACACUGGAACGGAGACACGGUCCAGACUCCUACGGGAGGCAGCAGUGGGGAAUAUUGGACAGUGGGCGAAAGCCUGAUCCAGCCAUGCCGCGUGUGUGAAGAAGGUCUUCGGAUUGUAAAGCACUUUAAGUUGGGAGGAAGGGCAGUAAGUUAAUACCUUGCUGUUUUGACGUUACCAACAGAAUAAGCACCGGCUAACUUCGUG